GACGAACGCUGGCGGCGUGCUUAACACAUGCAAGUCGAACGGGAAGGCCCUGCUUUUGUGGUAUUCUCGAGUCGAAAACGUGUGUGAAACAUGUGUGUACUGUCCUCCUCUCUUUGGUAUAACUUCAGGAAACUGGGUCUUAUACCAUAUAGGCGCUCCUGCUUCUUGUGGGUGGUAAGAUUGUUUCGUCGGUUUGGGAUGGGCUCGCGGCUUAUCAGCUUGUUGGUGGGGUAGUGGCCUACCAAGGCUCGGACGGGUAGCCGGCCUGAGAGGGUGACCGGCCACAUUGGGACUGAGAUACGGCCCAGACUCCUACGGGAGGCAGCAGUGGGGAAUAUUGCACAAUGGGCGGAAGCCUGAUGCAGCGACGCCGCGUGCGGGAUGACGGCCUUCGGGUUGUAAACCGCUUUCGCCAGGGACGAAGCUUGAGGGACGGGUAUCGAGAUAGAAGGCACGGCUAACUUCGGG
This 468-nucleotide ribosomal RNA is filed under the name uncultured bacterium. RNAcentral describes it as "partial 16S ribosomal RNA". It matches the Rfam family "Bacterial small subunit ribosomal RNA", at positions 28 to 507 of the family's 1533-position model. The record is from RNAcentral.